Molecule: ribosomal RNA, 1319 nt
Filed under: uncultured bacterium
Lineage: Bacteria
Description: bacterial SSU rRNA
Rfam family: Bacterial small subunit ribosomal RNA
Source: RNAcentral
AAACACAUGCAAGACGAACGAGCGAGAGAGAGCUUGCUUUCUCGAGCGAGUGGCGAACGGGUGAGUAACGCGUGAGGAACCUGCCUCAAAGAGGGGGGACAACAGUUGGAAACGACUGCUAAUACCGCAUAAGCCCACGGCUCGGCAUCGAGCAGAGGGAAAAGGAGCAAUCCGCUUUGAGAUGGCCUCGCGUCCGAUUAGCUAGUUGGUGAGGUAACGGCCCACCAAGGCAACGAUCGGUAGCCGGACUGAGAGGUUGAACGGCCACAUUGGGACUGAGACACGGCCCAGACUCCUACGGGAGGCAGCAGUGGGGAAUAUUGCACAAUGGGGGAAACCCUGAUGCAGCGACGCCGCGUGGAGGAAGAAGGUCUUCGGAUUGUAAACUCCUGUUGUUGAGGAAGAUAAUGACGGUACUCAACAAGGAAGCGACGGCUAACUACGUGCCAGCAGCCGCGGUAAAACGUAGGUCACAAGCGUUGUCCGGAAUUACUGGGUGUAAAGGGAGCGCAGGCGGGAAGACAAGUUGGAAGUGAAAUCUAUGGGCUCAACCCAUAAACUGCUUUCAAAACUGUUUUUCUUGAGUAGUGCAGAGGUAGGCGGAAUUCCCGGUGUAGCGGUGGAAUGCGUAGAUAUCGGGAGGAACACCAGUGGCGAAGGCGGCCUACUGGGCACCAACUGACGCUGAGGCUCGAAAGUGUGGGUAGCAAACAAGAGUAGAUACCCUGGUAGUCCUCUCCGUAAACGAUGAUUACUAGGUGUUGGAGGGAUUGACCCCUUCAGUGCCGCAGUUAACACAAUAAGUAAUCCACCUGGGGAGUACGACCGCAAGGUUGAAACUCAAAGGAAUUGACGGGGGCCCGCACAAGCAGUGGAGUAUGUGGUUUAAUUCGACGCAACGCGAAGAACCUUACCAAGUCUUGACAUCCUGCGACGCACAUAGAAAUAUGUGUUUCCUUCGGGACGCAGAGACAGGUGGUGCAUGGUUGUCGUCAGCUCGUGUCGUGAGAUGUUGGGUUAAGUCCCGCAACGAGCGCAACCCUUACUGUCAGUUACUACGCAAGAGGACUCUGGCAGGACUGCCGUUGACAAAACGGAGGAAGGUGGGGAUGACGUCAAAUCAUCAUGCCCUUUAUGACUUGGGCUACACACGUACUACAAUGGCGUUAAACAAAGAGAAGCAAGACCGCGAGGUGGAGCAAAACUCAGAAACAACGUCCCAGUUCGGACUGCAGGCUGCAACUCGCCUGCACGAAGUCGGAAUUGCUAGUAAUCGUGGAUCAGCAUGCCACGGUGAAUACGUUCCCGGGCCUUGCACU